This is a non-coding RNA of Drosophila bipectinata, 652 nucleotides long. NCBI's taxonomy places the organism in Eukaryota, Metazoa, Arthropoda, Insecta, Diptera, Drosophilidae. The record is from RefSeq and is a predicted model, not a curated record.
CUCAAUUUAAACUGGGGAAAAAAAUCCUUCAUCAUUAAGUUAAUACAUUAAUUCUAUUUAUGAGUGUUUUGUACAGUUAUCAAUGCCAAGAAAAUGCAAAGGGGGUGAUUUGAGCCGUGAUACUAGUAGAUCUCGAAAUAUGCGAAAUAGAAGAUACGAAAGAACCGAAGAACAAAUCCAGCAACAAAAUACUGAUGUACGUAUUAGAAUAGCGCAAUUGCAUCAAGAAGAGCCAGAAGAUACACGAGCUGAACGCAAUGAACUCAGAAGAUAAUAACAACGACAAUCACGCCGUUUCACAGUCAAUAGACGCAGAACAAAUGACCAACAACGACAACAGUAUGUGCCUGAUAUUGAGUAUUAUGCUCACUCAAAAGUGGUAAUUGGAGCUAUGGACAAGGAAUGUCCGCAUUGUCAUGCUCUGAAAUUCAAAAAUGAGCCAGCUAGGAUGUGUUGCGCGUCAGGAAAAGCGACGACAGCGAAGAAUUAUAUUUUCCCACAGAGUUUUUAAGCUUACUGGAUUUGCAACCUUUACCUUUACUGGAUUUUAAAGGUUGGAUCUGCAAUUAUCAUACCUCGUAAUUUGAACCCGCCCCGACUGUGCAACGGGACGCGAUUAGUCAUUCAAAAAUUAAUAAAUAACGUAAUCGAA